UACCAGCUCUUCGAGUGGUGUGGAUGUUUAUUGGGCCUAAAGCAUCCGUAGCUGGCUGGGCAAGUCCCCUGUUAAAUCCACCGAUUUAAUCGUUGGAGUGCGGGGGAUACUGUUCGGCUAGGGGACGGGAGAGGCAGACGGUAUUUUCGGGGUAGGGGUGAAAUCCUAUAAUCCCGAGAAGACCACCAGUGGCGAAGGCUGUCUGCUAGAACGCGCCCGACGGUGAGGGGUGAAAGCUGGGGGAGCGAACCGGAUUAGAUACCCGGGUAGUCCCAGCUGUAAACGAUGCAGGCUAGGUGUUUGGACGGCCACGUGCCGUUCUAGUGCCGCAGGGAAGCCGUUAAGCCUGCCGCCUGGGGAGUACGGCCGCAAGGCUGAAACUUAAAGGAAUUGGCGGGGGAGCACCAUAAGGGGUGAAGCUUGCGGUUU
This 429-nucleotide ribosomal RNA is filed under the name uncultured archaeon. Its description in RNAcentral is "bacterial SSU rRNA". It matches the Rfam family "Archaeal small subunit ribosomal RNA", at positions 474 to 903 of the family's 1478-position model. The record is from RNAcentral.